GCUGCUGUAGCUCAGUCGGUAGAGCGUCGCCUUGGUAAGGCGGAGGUCACGGGUUCAAAUCCCGUCAGUAGCU
This 73-nucleotide transfer RNA is filed under the name Aerococcus urinaehominis. It matches the Rfam family "tRNA". Rfam says of the family: Transfer RNA (tRNA) molecules are approximately 80 nucleotides in length. Their secondary structure includes four short double-helical elements and three loops (D, anti-codon, and T loops). Further hydrogen bonds mediate the characteristic L-shaped molecular structure. tRNAs have two regions of fundamental functional importance: the anti-codon, which is responsible for specific mRNA codon recognition, and the 3' end, to which the tRNAs corresponding amino acid is attached (by aminoacyl-tRNA synthetases). tRNAs cope with the degeneracy of the genetic code in two manners: having more than one tRNA (with a specific anti-codon) for a particular amino acid; and 'wobble' base-pairing, i.e. permitting non-standard base-pairing at the 3rd anti-codon position. Lineage: Bacteria; Bacillati; Bacillota; Bacilli; Lactobacillales; Aerococcaceae. The record is from Rfam by way of RNAcentral.